GCUCCUUGGGCAUGUAACUUCUUUACAGUUCUGGAUAGAAAUCGUUCAUGCCUCGAUCUAACUAUCAUGUAGUCUUCCUCCGUAAACUCUUGGGCAUGUCAAUGAGAAUCUACAUUUUGUUUAUAAACGUUAUUGUUAAUGCUAAUUUUUUUUACGGAUCUCUUUAUGCAGACUCUUGACAUGUUGUGCGAAUAACUCUGUAGAUUCAAAAAUUCUAGCAUACAUGGACAGUG
RNAcentral lists this long non-coding RNA (233 nucleotides) under Elaeis guineensis (African oil palm). Its description in RNAcentral is "long non-coding RNA (EGUI_LNC028683)". Lineage: Eukaryota; Viridiplantae; Streptophyta; Magnoliopsida; Arecales; Arecaceae. The record is from RNAcentral.